AAUUUUUUAUUUAAAAAACAACUUUAUGCAUUUUCUCUCCACUUCUCAAAAAAAAAAAAAAAAAAAAUACAAAUGCUCUGUAGUUGUGAUGGAGAGAAUCAGAAAAUGAAAACCCCGGAGUCGCUUUGAUGGCCUAAACCCUAAUCCCCGUGUCCAUUCAAAACAACCCCAAAAUGCAGAGAAUCAAUUCGUCUCCAAAUUCCCAAAACCUUGCAAUCAAAUCCCUUUUCUCAUUUUUCUCUUCGCUUUCGGAAACCCAAAAUUCAAACGCAUUCCUCCUCAAUUACCUAACAGAAACCCUAAACAUUCCCAAAUCACGAGCCCUUGUGAUUUCAAACAAAUACUCUUACAUUAAGUCACCCGAAAAACCAGAAACUGUGCGUCAAUAUUUCCAUAACGUUGGAUUCUCAGAUACCGAAAUUCAAUUGGCAGUUAGUGCAUCACCCCAUAUUCUCUUCUCUGAUGUUGACAAAACCCUAAAACCAAAGAUUGAAUUUUUCCAGCACCUUGGUCUUGAGGGUUCUGAUUUGGGUAAGAUUAUUUCCAAAACUCCAAGUAUUCUAGCUGUUAGUUUAGAGAAAAAAUUUGAUUCCAAUUGUUGAAAUUCUUAAGAAAAUAUUAGUGAAUGAUACUAAUGAUGAAUAUCUCAUCCGUGUUGUUAGUAGAUGGAACGGGAUUCUUAAAAUUCACCCUGAGAAAUCGGGGUUGCUAAGAAACAUUGAAUACUUCAGAAAUUGUGGCAUUGUUGGGUCUCAGCUGUCAGUGCUAUUGGUGAGGCAACCUAGGCUAUUUUUUUAUGAGGAAUUGAAACUUAGACACCUUGUUUCACGGGUUUUAGAUAUGGGAUUUUCAACCAAAUCGAGGAUGUUUGUUUAUGGAUUUCAUGCACUUAGUUGCGUGAGUGAAGAAACAUUUGAUAGAAAAUUGGAAUUGGUUAGGAGCUAUGGAUUUUCCAAAGAAGAAUUCAUUGAAAUGUUUCGAAAGGCACCUGGUAUACCUAAGUUGUCAGAGGAGAGGUUAAAGUUGGGACUUGAGUUCUUUCUGAAAGAGAUUGAAUGUGAAAAGUCAGUGUUGGUUCGCGUUCCGAUUUGUUUAGCAUGUAGUAUUGAAAAUCGGGCAAUUCCUCGAUAUAGGGUUUUUCAAAUUAUUAUGUCCAGGGGGAUGUUGAGGAAGGAAUCUAGUUUUCCUUCAACACUGCUUUUAAGUGAGAAAAACUUCUUGAAGAAGUUUGUGUUGAGGUUUGGAGAUGAUGCAGAGGAGUUGUUGCUAGCUUACAAGGGCCACGGUUUGGGCAUAAGUUUGGGCAUAAGUUAACUAUCGCCUAUUGGAAUCUUUGAGUCAUUAGCAUUAACUGUUUCAAUGAGAGUUGCUGUUCUAUUUCGAGAUCAGACAGAGAAGGAUUUGAGAGUGUAGUUAAAAGUUGAUGAACAAGGGGAAAUCUCCAGUGGUUUCACUUAAUGAGGUUGCAUGAGAGUUUGGCGAAGGUUCACUGGCCGUUCUAUGUGGUAGCAUAUAGAAGAAGAGAUUAAAGCCUUGAACGAGAAGUCAAUUACCCUUAAACAAGCAAAAGAAAUUUUGAGAAGCGUAAGUUCUGGUACUAACAUCAGACAAGUCUAAUUUUAUGAUAUGUGUAUCUAUUUGCUAGAGAAUUUGUACAAGCAUAAGAAAGUUUCCCUACUGCGGUAAAUGAUUAUGGAUAUAUUCCUUCAAAAUUGUUUUGUCUCAUGGGACGUUGUCUGUAUGCACAUCAUUUCGAUCUCUUAGAUCAUUUUAAUUUUCCAAAUUAUUCCUAUCCUAGUCGCAGUAGAAAGAUAAGACUGAACCAACUGAAUUGUUUGUGAAUGCACCCUGACUACGAAAUUUUUGGGCAAUAACCAAUUUUGCUCGUGCCAGCUAGCAAAAAAGAAGAAAUUAGGAGAGUGGGGUUACAGAUUUUUUGCACGUGCUUGAAAAUUAAGCAAAUUUAGGUUAUUCUACGUGUUUUGUUCUGGCAUAGGUUUUUUUUAUAUUAUUAUUUGUGAAAUUUUUUCCUUAUUCUUUUUACCUUUAAACAAAUGUUCAAUUUGGUAUUGCAGUGCUGUAAUUCCUAAAUCAUAGCAGCUAGCUCUAGAAAUAAAAAUGUAUAGUGUUUGGUAAAAUAUGAUUUUUAAGUCAUAAUUGUGACAAAAAUAGUAAGGGUAUUGCAACUCUCAAAACUGAAACACACCUGUCCCCAAAAUGCCCAAAUUCCAAAAGCUUUGCAAUCAAAUCCCAUUUCUCAUUUUUUUUCUCCUCUUUCGGAAACCCAAAAUUCUAACACAUUCCUCCUCAAUUACCUCAUCGAAACCCUAAAAAUUCCCAAACCACGAGCCCUUGUAAUCUCAAAAAAAAUACUCUCGCGUUAAAUCCCUAGAAAAACCACAAAUUGUACGUCAGUUUUUAGUAAAAUGUUGGAUUCUCUGAUACUCACAUUCAAGUGACAGUUAAUGCAGAACCCCGAAUUCUAUUCUCUGAUAUUUGACAAAACCCUUAAACCAAAGAUUGAAUUUUUCCGGCAUCUGGGUUUCAUGGUUUUUGAUUUGGGUAAUUUUGUUUCCAAAAAUCCAUGUCUUUUAACUGCUAGUUUACAGGAAAAAAAAAUGAUUCCAUGCAUUGAAGUUCUUAAGGAAAUAUUAGUGAAUGAUACUAAUAAUGAAGAUACCAACGAAACAUUGAAUUCUUAAAAAAUUGUGGCAUUGUUGGGUCUCAGCUGUCAAAUUUAUUUUGUAGUGCAACCUAGGCUAUUUUGUUAUGAGGAAUUUAGACACCUUAAUUCACGGGUUUCAGAUAUGGGAUUAUCAACAAAAUCGAGGAUGUUUGUUCAUGGAUUGCAUGCACUUAGUUGCAUGAGUGAAGAAACAUUUGAUAUAAAAUUGGAAUUAUUUAGGAGUUAUGGAUUUUUCCAGCGAAGAGUUCGUUGAAAUGUUUAGAAAGACACCUAAAAUUGAUUAGGUUCUCCGAGGGGAGGUUAAAGACGGGGCUGGAGUUCUGUUUGAAAAAGAUUGAAUUUGAAAAGGCAGUGUUGGUUCGUUUUCCUAUUUGUUUAGCAUGUAACAUUGAAGAUCGGGUGAUUCCUCGAUAUAGGGUUUUUCAAAUUAUUAUAUCAAGAGGGAUGUUGAAGAAGGAAUGUAGAAUGCUGCUUUUGAGUGAGGAGAAUUUCUUUAGGAAGCUUGAAGAUGAUGCAGAGGAGUUGUUGCUAACGUACGAGGGCCACAGUUUGGGUUCUUCUUUGAAAGAGGAAUCUUGAUACAAUUAUACAAGUUUCAAUAUGCUAACUAUGGCCUAUUGGGUCUUUGGGUCAUUAGCAUUAACUAUCGUAAUGAAAGUAGUUGUUUUGCCCCCACACAAACUCUCAAUGUUGUUGUAUUUCGAGAUCUGACAAAGAAGGAUCUAUGUGUAGUCGAUAGUUGACGAAAAGGGAAAUUUUUUUUACAUUCAAUGAUGCCCUUCGUUGAUUUUCGCUUGAUGAGUUACGAUGAGAGUGUUCGUAGACAGUUCACUGGUCGUUUGGUGUGUUAGCAUGUAGAAGAAGAGAUCAAAGCAUCGAACCAAAAGUGAAUUACCCAAUGAACUAGCAAAAGGGAUAUUGAGAAGUGUAAGUUAUGUUGCUAACAUCGAACAAGUCUAAUUUGAUGAUCUCUGUUCUGGUAUAGCUUUAAAAUUUGUACAUGCCUAAAAAAGCUUCCCUGCUACGCAUACAAAUUAUGGAUUUUUCUUUCAAAAUUUUUUUAGUAGAGCUCUUCGAGCUCUUUUUUUUUUUUUAAUAUUGUUAUACAUGAUUGUUACUGAUAUUACAAUUAAUGUUUACAAACAGAUUAUACAACUGAGACCUUUUUCUUGGCAUGUACUCUUCUAAACCUCAUUAUUAUUGGUAUUACAUCAGAUAUUACAAUUAAUGUUUACAAACAGAUUAUACAACUGAAGCAUUCUUCUUGGCAUGUACUUUUCUGAACCUAUGCGUAGAUUUUUUUAAAUAUUUUCUAAUAUUUGAGGGUGUCCAUCCCACUCACAUUUCUUGAGAAAGAAAUUGUUUCCACUCAAUUAUUUAAGAGUAAUGAUACAGCCACAAACUCUUGUACAAACUGACGUGGCAUUAAUUCAUUGGUUGAAUGAAAAUAUAAAUUAAUAAAAACAAAUCAUGUGGGCCAAGUGAUAUUUAAUUCAACCAAUCUUAUCAUGCCACAUCAGUUUGUACAAAAUAAGUUUGUACAAGAGUUUGUGGCUGUAUCAUUACUCAUUAUUUAAUAAUUAAGGGAGGAAUGAAACUAACCUCCAUAAUGCUUUUAUGGAGGCUCGAACCCCUUACUCUCAACAUUAUAAGUGUAAGGACUCUCCGUCAAAGGCCCAUUGGUGCUAUUCGAGCUCUUUAGUUUGUCACAUCAGACCCUGACGGCCCAUAUCUAUCUGCAUACCAAUUAAAUCUCUUAUGGUGCAUUUAUUAAAUGAGAAUAGAAAUGAGAUGAAAUCAGAAUGGGCAGAAAUCAGAAUGGAUUGAAAUGAGAGAAGAGAGUAGGAAUAUAAAUAAAUUUUUUACUUGAACUAUAAGAAUCAGAAUCAGAAUGAGAUGAAUUGUUAUUAAUGUGUUUACAAAUGAGUUAAAUUGUUACAAAUUAUUAAAAAAUCUUUAAUUAAUUAUUAUUAUAAUAAUUAUUUUAUAUUUUAAUUAUCGUGAAUAUCUACUCAAGAAUUACUAUUACUAUUACUAUUAGUAUUAUUAUUAAUUAUUAUUAAUAAUAUAUUAAUUUAUGAAUUAAUUAUAAAUUUUUUAUCAUUGACAAUGAAGAUAAUAAUAAUAUUAACAUUAAUAAUUUAUUAAUUAUAAUUUAUCAUCAAGAAGAAGCGAAGAAGAAGUAUGAGGAAGAGGCUAAGUCAGCCGAAGAGCUCAUUAAUGACAAGAAUGAAACUUUCACCCUCACUACAAAAUACUUGAGCCAUAACCAUUUCUUGCUGAGAUGGAAGAAACAAGAGACACUGUUGUUAUAGUUUAAUUUUUGCAUGUGCUUGAAAAUCAUGCUAAAUUAUUGUUAUUCUCAAUAGGGGGUUGAUUGUGGAGUCAUGCACCUGAUAGUGCCAGAUUACAUGCGUUUACUUUUCUUUUCUUUUCAAAAAAAAAAAAAAAGAUUACAUGCGUUUCUCAUUGGAAGAUGUGGGCUCUAGCUCUACUGCUCAAUUCCUCCCCAUAAAAGUUUAACACGUGUGUAGUCGCGCACGUGAUCGCGCUUCUCACAAUUGGACCUGGUAUCACUUGCUAGUAAAUCUUGAAGGGAAUCUCUUAAGUUGGCAUUUAGCAUUUGCUAAUGUUUUGGUAAUGUUUAAACAAGAAAACAAAAAUAAGCCUUCAAUGAUCUUCUUGUUGUGUCUAUUUUAUUUGAACUGUAAAUCUGCCCUUGCCCUUUGCAAGUUGGUUUUAGUCUGCUUGUCACGAAUCAAUCAACAAACCUGUGACAUGAAAGUUUGAAAUUAAUCAUUAAUAGACGUGUCAACUGCGAAAGUGGCGAUUUUUAAGCGCUAUCGCCGCCAUCGGUCCUGUAAAACUACCCGUGUUGAGGAACAUUUUGGUCCGUAAAAGAGUUUUUGGCUAUAUAAUGAACAUUUGGUCAAAUUUGCCGCCGUAAAAACCCUUCACCCUUCUUCUGUUUUUUGUUCAUUUAAACCCUAGAAACCCCAGUCUCUUAAAAGCCAAAACUGAAAACACCGCUAGCCCCAAAAUGCGGAGACUCAAUUCAUUUCCAAAUACCCAAAACUUUGCAAUCAAAUCCCUUUUCUCAUUCUUCUCUUCACUUUCGAAGACCCAGAAUACAACCCCCAUCCUCCUUAAUUACCUAAUCGAAACUCUAAAAAUCCCCGAAUCACGAGCCCUUGUGAUCUCAAACAAAUACUCUCACAUUAAAUCCCUAGAUAAACCGCAAACUGUGCGUCAAUUUUUCCACAAUGUCGGAUUAUCGGAUAUCCACAUUCAGCUGGCAGUUAAUGCAACACCCACAAUUCUAUUCUCCGAUAUUAACAGGACCCUUAAACCAAAGAUUGAGCUUUUUCAACGUUUGGGUUUUGUGGGUUCUGAUUUGGGUAAGUUUGUUUCCAAAAAUUCAUUCCUUUUUUGCUGUUAGUUUGGAGAAAAAAUUGAUUCCAUGUGUUGAAAUUAUUCAGAAAAUAUUAGCGGAUCGUACUACUAAUCAAAAUUUGAUUGUGUUGUUAGUAGAUGCAACUGGAUUCUCACAAGGGACCCGGAGAAAUCAGGGCUAUUAGGAAACAUUGAAUACUUGAAAAGUUGUGGCAUUGUUGGUUCUCGGUUGUCUACUUUAUUAAUGAGGCAAACUAGGCUAUUUUGUUUUGAGGAAUUGAAACUUGGACAGCUUGUUUUGCGGGUUUUAGAUAUGAGAUUUUCAAUUAACUCAAGGAUGUUUGUUUAUGGACUGGAUGCUCUUUGUUGCUUUAGCGAAGAAACAUUUGAUAGAAAAUUGGAUUUAUUUUAGAGUUAUGGAUUUUCCAAAGAAGAGUUCAUGGAAAUGUUUCGGAGGGCACCUGGAAUACUAAGGUCGUCUGAGGAGAGUUUAAAGUCGAGACUUGAGUUCUUUCUGACAGAGAUGAAUUUAAAAAGUCGGUGUUGGUUCAUAAUCCGGUUUGUUUAACGCUAAGUAUAGAAAAUCAAGUGAUUCCUCGAUAUAGGUUUUUUCAGGUUUCAAUGGCCUUCCCUUUUAAAUUUCAACUCAAAUGUUCAACGCCCACCAACUUCCCCGAGCUUCUCAAAUGAUCACUUGCUUACUUCAAAUUCAAGAUCAUUAUAUGGGCAGGCAGAGUUUAUAACAGAAAUUAUUGAGCAAACUGAUGGAGGGGCUGCCAGUUCGGCAUCCGUGAAUCCUAAUUUGCUUGAUAAUCAUCCUGUAACUUCUGGAAGAAAGUCGUCUCUAGGUUCCCCAUUGUCUUCCUCACCCCAUUUCAUUGAGGUCUGCGAGCAGCCUGUGAGGUUGGAUGUGUGUUCACCAGAUCGGUUGGCUGGGGAACUGUUCUUCCUGGAUGCUUCACUAGCAUUCACUGCUGAAGAAUUAUCUCGAGCCCCUGCAGAAGUGCUUGGCAGAAGCAGCCAUGGAACUCUCUAUAAAGCCACUCUAGAUAGUGGGCAUAUGUUGACUGUGAAAUGGUGGCGGGUGGGACUGGUAAGACAUAAGAAAGAAUUUGCUAAGGAAGUUAAAAAAAAAAAGAUCUAUGAGGCAUUCAAAUAUUGUUCCGUUGCGCGCGUAUUAUUGGGGGCCUGGAGAACAGGAGAGGCUUCUUCUUGCAGAUUAUAUCCAGGGAGACAGCUUGGCCCUACAUCUUUACGGUAAGAAUUCAAAGGACAUUUUUAUCUUGUCUUUUAAUCAUUAUUCCCUACCAACUUUCCGGAGUUCUUUUGUCAUAGUUCAGCCAACUUUCUUUGUUAUAACUAUUGUCUGAGUUCUGAAUGAGGAUGCUUUGCUCUAAAUGCAUGUUGAUGCUGCAUGGCGUAUCGUUUUUCUUUACUCUGUAGUGUGACAUUCAUGUCAAAAUGGUUUAAAUAGAUGUUGGAUUUCAUUAUCGUGGCAAGUCUAGUUAAAGAAGGCUUGAGAGCUUGAAGCGGAGUUGGCAUAUUAGGUUUUUGUUAAGUUAAUUGCUCGUUUUGUUGAACCUUCCACAGUCUCAACCCUCAGGGUGAAUGUCAUAUACAAGCUUCUUGAAUAUGGUCUUUACAUAGAGAGCCUCUAUUUCUCUAAUGGGGGACAUUGCAAGCUGUGAUGAAGUUGGAUAGUUAUAUUGGUUUAACUUUCAUUUUACUUCUUUCAUGGGGAAUAACCGUUUUUCCUAGCUGAUUUAUAUACAUGUGCUUCAUAAUGUACAUGGACUUCUCUCUAACAUUUUGUAUUAUUUGAUCCACAUAUGUGGCAAUGCAGAGACUACUCCUUGGAGGUACUCCCCAUUGUCAUUCAUUCAAAGGCUAAAAGUGGCUGUGGAUGUUGCUCGAUGUCUGUUAUACCUUCAUGAUAGAGGCCUGCCACAUGGAAACCUAAAGCCUACACACAUACUCCUGGCAGGUCCUGAUUAUGACGUUCGCCUAACGGAUUACGGCCUACACCGCCUUAUGACCCCAGCUGGCAUUGCGGAGCAGAUACUGAAUCUGGGAGCACUUAGGUACCGUGCCCCGGAACUCACUACUGCAUCAAAGCCAGAUCCCUCAUUUAAGGCUGAUGUGUAUGCACUCGGUGUAAUCCUGAUGGAAUUGUUAACAAGAAGAAGUGCCGGUGACAUAAUCUCUGGCCAGUCGGGAGCUGUGGAUCUCACCGACUGGGUUCGGCUCUGUGAUCAAGAAGGGCGUGGAAUGGACUGUACGGACAGCGACAUUGCUGGUGGUGAAGAACCCUCAAAAGCAAUGGAUGAUUUGCUAGCCAUAUCUAUCAGGUGCAUUCUCCCUGUAAAUGAAAGGCCUAACAGCAAACAAGUCUGAUGGUCUUUGUUCUAUAUCUGCAUGAAAUUUUUUACAUGUGUCUUGGAAUUAUUUUUUUACCUUGAUCCUUGACCAAUCCUUGUUUUUUAUCCCUUAUUUUUUCCUCCCAUUAAUUGGUUUCUGGCCUUUCGAUUACAGGCUAAUCAUGUCUCCCUUUUUUUUUUUUUUGGGGUCUCGCCGAAAAUUUUCUUGUAAAGAAACAUCCCCAUUGAUUAUUUUAGUAGUGUUUUGAGUUUGAUCUUCAAUUGAAAAUGGUUCCAAGUCUCAGCGUGCUCGCUUUGUUCAAUGACAGGAGAGGCAUCAUAAUUCCUUGUGCCAAAUAGAUGGGCAAAAUUAUUUGCUCAGUUUUGCAAUAUUAAUUCUGUUUUCUUGUUGCUCAUCUAAUUAUUGAUCUAAACACUGUUUAAUAGCAAAUCAAAUUUAGCAUUUUUAAAAUUUGAAGGCACGUUCUUUUGAUUAUAAUAAUUAGAGCUCAAUGCAGGCCCGACAGGCCAACAAAGGAAAUUAUGAUAAAAUAAAUUCUCACAAGUAAACCGGAAACUCCUGGAAACUCGAUUACUCCACCAGAAAUUAUGAAAACAAUAAUAAAAAAUGAAAUUUCAUAAAAAUAAUUAUAAAAAUUACUCGGAAGUAAGUAAAUAGUGAAAAUCAUCUGGUACUCAAGUUCGUUUAAUAACAUAAAGAAAGGUUUUUGUUUAUUGGAUGAGAUUUCUUAUUACAUCUAAGUUUUUUGAAAAAUAAAAAAAAUAAAAAUUUAUUUUCCAUUAUAAAUAAAAGCAAAACGCGAGGCUCCAUCGUUUUAAGAAUAGACACAUAAAUCUUAUAUAAACUAAAUUUUUUUUUUCAAAUAGACAAAAAUUUUACAAUUUUUUAUUUAAAAAACAACUUUAUGCAUUUUCUCUCCACUUCUCAAAAAAAAUUUAAAAAAAAAUACAAAUGCUCUGUAGUUGUAAUGGAGAGAAUCAGAAAAUGAAAACCCCGGAGUCGCUUUGAUGGCCUAAACCCUAAUCCCCGUGUCCAUUCAAAACAACCCCAAAAUGCAGAGAAUCAA
Molecule: long non-coding RNA, 9524 nt
Filed under: Citrus x clementina
Lineage: Eukaryota; Viridiplantae; Streptophyta; Magnoliopsida; Sapindales; Rutaceae
Description: Citrus clementina (C. clementina) long non-coding RNA (CCLE_LNC001603)
Source: RNAcentral